AUUAACGCUGGCAGAGUGCAUAACACAUGCAAGUCGAGCGGGAGUGGCGGAUUAUCGCGCUCUAGCGGCAGACGAGUGAGCAACACGUAAGUAACCUGCCCUUAAGAGGUGGAUAACGUGUCGAAAGACACGCUAAUACACCAUAUUAUCCUCAGGCGGCAUCGUCAGAGGAUGAAAGGCCCGCAAGGGUCACUUAAGGAGGGACUUGCGUCCCAUCAGCUAGUUGGCGGGGUAACGGCCCACCAAGGCUAUGACGGGUACCCGGCCUGAAAGGGCGGACGGGCACGAAGGCACUGAGAAACGGGCCUUACUCCUACGGGAGGCAGCAGUGGGGAAUUUUGAACAAUGGGCGAAAGCCUGAUCCAGCAACUCUGCGUGAGGGACGAAGUACUUCGGUAUGUAAACCUCUUUUAUUGGGGAAGAAAUCCCGCAAGGGUCUGACGGUACCCAGUGAAUAAGCCACGGCUAACUACGU
RNAcentral lists this ribosomal RNA (475 nucleotides) under uncultured bacterium. RNAcentral describes it as "bacterial SSU rRNA". It matches the Rfam family "Bacterial small subunit ribosomal RNA", at positions 29 to 506 of the family's 1533-position model. The record is from RNAcentral.